AUACGGAGGGUGCAAGCGUUACUCGGAAUCACUGGGCGUAAAGCGCGCGCAGGCGGCCAUUUAAGUUGGAUGUGAAAGCCUACGGCUCAACCGUAGAACUGCAUCCAAAACUAUUUGGCUAGAGUGUGGGAGAGGAAGAUGGAAUUAGUUGUGUAGGGGUAAAAUCCGUAGAGAUAACUAGGAAUACCAAAAGCGAAGGCAAUCUUCUGGAAAAUUACUGACGCUGAGGCGCGAAAGCGUGGGGAGCAAACAGGAUUAGAAACCCUAGUAGUCC
Molecule: ribosomal RNA, 274 nt
Filed under: uncultured bacterium
Lineage: Bacteria
Description: partial 16S ribosomal RNA
Rfam family: Bacterial small subunit ribosomal RNA
Source: RNAcentral